Molecule: long non-coding RNA, 2087 nt
Organism: Vespula pensylvanica (western yellowjacket)
Lineage: Eukaryota; Metazoa; Arthropoda; Insecta; Hymenoptera; Vespidae
Exons: 5
Source: RefSeq, a predicted model, not a curated record
CAACAGGAUCUUUGGAGAAUCAUCGAAGCAUAUUCGACGACUUCGCUUUAUUUACGAAUAAUUAAUUUUCUAUUAAUUAAUAAUUUUCUCUAGCAUCAUUUCAACAGCUUUCCGAAGAAACCCAUCGUUCAAUAUUCGUCAAGUAUUAUCUUCGAGAGAUCAUCGUCGCAUUCGAUCACUUUAUUAGUUAUUAAGUUUACUUUAAUUAAUAAUUCUCUGUAGCAUUAUUUGAAAAUAUCGUUGAGUAUCAUCAAUAACGAAAUCUUUGGGAGAUCAUCGGAGCAACGUUUUUCAUCGGCUAUAGGAGUAACGGCGAUCUCCCUUUCUCUAAGCGUUUCUUUCGCGGUCCAGAGGCCACGAUAGUACGAGUUGCGAUCGACGAUAACAUAACGCGUCGGUUCGAAUCCAUUUGGAUAUCUCUCUUAGUUUCGGUGUUCUUGUGGGAAACGAAGAGCAAGUUUGGUCUCUAUCGGUACGACCGAUCGUUUAGAUAUAAUUACUAACAAUCCUGAAGGGCUCAUGGUAUAAGCCCUUCUUCGUGAUUGGCCAUUUCCAUGGAUCUUGGUGAUCGUUAACGAGCCUACAAAAGGAGAGAAGAAGGCAGAAGAGAAGAAGAGGAUCGUAAAGGAAGAAACGGAAUGGCUAGGAAGGAACGAAGGAUUGCGAGCGUUCGUUCUGCCAUUCUAUAAAUCCUCCAUACACGGGCUUUCCUCUGGUAGCAAGUAGGAGCCGUCGACGGUGGUCAUUGAAGGGACCAAGAGGAGGCGGUUAACUAAAAAUCUUCUGGUGGCGCGAGCGCGCGCGCACAUACAACGGCCUCGCGCGUAGCAGCCUGUAAUUUUCCUCGACUGGGGUGAGGAGAAGACGAGAAGGAGAGAGACGAGAAGAAGAAGGAGGCUGUCGUCGAAAGGCUCGUCGAGUCGGUUGGAAGAUGCGAGCGACGAAAAGGUGGAGAAAGAGGAGGAGGAGGAGGAGAAGGAGGAGGGGUGAAACGGCAGCAAAAGAGAAUGCGAAUUUCAGAUACAAAAUCGAUCUCGAGUAAACUGAUUGCUUAAUUAUACAAGAGGAAUGAGAAAUGUAAUAAGAGAACGAAAUCGUAAUAGAGGAAUAUGGAUGGACGACGAUACAUUUUCAUGGACAUCUUAAGGAAAUGAUAAAGGGAAGACGUCGAGGGAUUUUAAAAAGCUCUUUCAACGUCAACUCGCCGUACUCCACUACUGUCAACCGGUGUCGUUCUUCGUUCCUUUGAUCGACGUCGUCGAAUUGUUCUUCCUCGUUUUGCAAAAGAAUCCUGAGAUGCGUUGUAGCUCCUCGAAAAAGGGCUUCAGCCGUUAACAGGCGUUCGCACCCAAGAAAGAUCAAUUAGGGGAUAUUUCGAUAAUGGCGUUUUGUGUGUCGCCGUUACCACCACAAUAUUGUAUAGACCGAAGGAUGCAGAAAUCAGACAGGAAAUAAGAAAGCGUAUAGAUAUAUAUAUGUUGAAGCUUUGUGAAAGUCGACUAGAUGGAGAGAAACGGAGAAGAGAAUUAUAGGAGGGUUGUUCGGUAAUACUGUUGACGGUAUACCGACACCGGUGGUCUCUAAGCCUCGGUUCGACGUAGGUAGAAUAGGAGAGAGCGGGAGGGAAAUCGUAUGUACCGAGGGACAAUAGAGGAGCUACGGCCCUCUUAGAGGGAGGUUAAUUGGAUCCCAUCGAUUUCGAUAGUACAAUGAACGGAGAUCAAAUCCUCGUCGAUUCGAGGAGACGACGUAACGGCUUUCCUUCAUCUCUUCUAAUUCUCUCUCUCUCUCCGUUUCUCUCGCAUACUUGUUAUAGGGCAUAUAUUUAUAUGUAUAUACCUACGUUUCAUAUCACCGUUCCUUUCGGCGUAGUCUAGGUAACUCCCUUUUCCAUGUUCGAAGGGUCCUUAUCCCUUACGACUUUGGUUUUCCAGCGCCCUUCCCGUUCAUGGCACUCCUUCUCCAAAGAUACGCUCCUGCGUUCAUCGUCCUGUAUCCCUCGAAUCGCUUGAGGAUGCUUCUCUGAGUUUCUACGCGCGACUCGAGUAUUUUCACGAGGAGAAAGAGAGAGAGAGAGAGAGAGAGAA